Non-coding RNA from Coturnix japonica (Japanese quail), 966 nucleotides. NCBI's taxonomy places the organism in Eukaryota, Metazoa, Chordata, Aves, Galliformes, Phasianidae. The record is from RefSeq and is a predicted model, not a curated record.
UGUGCAGCUGUAUUCAGAUACAGCUGGAAGUAAUCAUCAAUCACACUUUAAAAGCAAAAACAAAAAUAAGAAAACAAACACAACAGCAACACAAGACAACAAAAGAGCAACAGCUAUUAUUUAAAACACCGAGCAUGAGAGAUCAAACUUCAGGGAAAGGUUUAUAGUAUCACACAUUAAACCAGCAGAUGCAGUUGGAAAAAUGGACCUGCAGCAAAGAGUGAUUUCUCCUAGACUGCUGGAUGUCUAACAGCUUUAAGUUUCAAAACAGAUAAUGGUUUACCAGUGCCGCUAUAUGGGCAGCAGGAGUGGUGUUCAAGCAGUGACUGGGAAGAGUAGCCAGAAAAAAAAUAAAGGAGAGAAUGGAGCUCCCAUCCAUUGCAUCCUGGCAAGUUCUAUAUGAGUCAUGUUCUCCUAUCCACUUCCCUGUGUGGUAAACAUACACCAGUCAGGAGGAAACAAGGAAGCCACUUGUGCCAUGAGCCUCCUGCUCUAGCUGAAGAUGAAGCAGCUUCCAUCUCUGGUCAGAACUGCAGUGGAGCACCAGCCUCUGGCUAGCAGAGUACUCCAUUGGUGCUAAGCUUUUGUGAGGAACCCUGCAAACCAAAACUGACAGAAGAGACUAUUUCCCAACAUUUACACAUUCAAAUUCUUCUUUGACAGACAAUCUUCAUGGCACCAAUUUAUUUUCAUCUGAGAUAAGGAAUCUUUCACUGUGACUACUAUAUAGUAAUUACACUGUGUGCUGUUACAUUCAAAUUCACUAAUAAAGCAGUGAACUGAGUACUUUGUGUUGAAGUGACAGUUCAUCCCUGUACAGCAGAACUCCAAGCAAUAGAGUAUUUUUAAGCAAGCAUUUUGUUUCUAUUUAUUUAACUGUGUUUAUUCAGUAGAACUUAUGUUCAUUAAAAGGUUAAAUGACACAUUAAGUUUCAGUCUUGAGCUAAGAGACAAGCUGAAGUCUCA